This 1049-nucleotide long non-coding RNA is filed under the name Homo sapiens (human). RNAcentral's name for it is "HSALNT0334352". Lineage: Eukaryota; Metazoa; Chordata; Mammalia; Primates; Hominidae. The record is from RNAcentral.
GUUUCUGGCUUCAGACAUCUUCUGAGGGCCAGUGGGCACCAGGCACACAGUAGGAGCUUGGUAGAUGGCUGAGGAAUGGCAGGAGCUCAGCCCAGUGUUCAGCCCCAGUGGGGCCUGAGAGGGCCCAAGCACGGUAACCACAGGAGGAGCUCCUUCCCUGUACCCCACCACAGGGAGCCGGCUGGGGAACACAAACUUGGUUUUCCAGUUUUUCCCAGAGCCAGCUGCUCUGUACCUGAGAAGUCAGUGCUUCCCGGAUCCCAGUCAGCAUGGGCUUUUCUCCUAGGCCCUGAGCUUACGUCCAGAAACAUUCUCCUGGGGUUUAUCUGCCCCCACAACCAGCCCAGUACUGGAAGCUCUGACUUCCUCAUCAAGGAUCACAAGGGGAAAAUGACCUGUGGGGUAGGGGGAAGAGGCCAGAGCCUUCAUCACUCUGCCUGCCGCUGGCAUCCUGUGGGGGCCUAGCUAGCUGGGGUCACCUCCCUCUUCCCCACACAGAGCUGGCAGGACAGCUGGUUUAUCCUUCUUCAGCCACAGCCUGCAGAAAGCACGUUCCCCUCGGAGCCCCGGGCCACUAGCCAGUCCACUGGGGACAUCCCUCAGAGAGGGGAGGGGAGGGAGAGACAGGGCGGACACCCAGGCUGGCACACUGUGGCCAGCCACCCGGCUCCACUGACUGGCGGUUUCGUGUCUGGCUCCCUGAGGUCCAGAUGGUCCCAACACGUCCCUGGGGGGUAAGCAGACUCCUGCCCAAACUUGAACUCACAGCUCCAGCCCCCAGAGGCUCCGAGCCAGGACCCCAAAGGAGGGAGGAGGAAGUCCCAUGAAGAAAUAAAGAACAUGUGGUGAAUCACAGAGAAGUGGCUGAAAAGAUUCAAGCCUCAACCUUGGUCCUCCCUAGUCACAUGACCACAGGCAAACCUCUUCUCUCUCAGCCUCAGUUUUUGCAUCAGUGCAAUAGGAAUGGUAUCUGCCAUGCUAACCUCACAGGACUGCUGUGUGUUCAGAUGAAUCAGCACUAUUCACAACAGCAAAGACUUGGAACCAAC